Molecule: unclassified non-coding RNA, 253 nt
Filed under: uncultured Oceanospirillales bacterium
Lineage: Bacteria; Pseudomonadati; Pseudomonadota; Gammaproteobacteria; Oceanospirillales
Description: contains 16S-23S intergenic spacer region
Rfam family: Bacterial small subunit ribosomal RNA
Source: RNAcentral
UACGGAGGGUGUAAGCGUUAAUCGGAAUAACUGGGCGUAAAGCGCGCGUAGGUGGUUGAGUCAGUCAGAUGUGAAAGCCACGGGCUUAACCUGGGAACUGCACCUGAUACUGCUUAACUAGAGUACGGUAGAGUGCAGUGGAAUUUCCUGUGUAGCGGUGAAAUGCGUAGAUAUAGGAAGGAACACCAGUGGCGAAUGUGACUGCCUGGACUGAUACUGACACUGAGGCGCGAAAGCGUGGGUAGCAAACAGG